Molecule: ribosomal RNA, 497 nt
Filed under: uncultured bacterium
Lineage: Bacteria
Description: partial 16S ribosomal RNA
Rfam family: Bacterial small subunit ribosomal RNA
Source: RNAcentral
GAUGGACGCUGGCGGCGUGCCUAAUACAUGCCAGUCGAGCGAACAGACGAGGAGCUUGCUCCUCUGACGUUAGCGGCGGACGGGUGAGUAACACGUGGAUAACCUACCUAUAAGACUGGGAUAACUUCGGGAAACCGGAGCUAAUACCGGAUAACAUGUUGAACCGCAUGGUUCAACAGUGAAAGACGGUUUUGCUGUCACUUAUAGAUGGAUCCGCGUCGCAUUAGCUAGUUGGUAAGGUAACGGCUUACCAAGGCAACGAUGCGUAGCCGACCUGAGAGGGUGAUCGGCCACACUGGAACUGAGACACGGUCCAGACUCCUACGGGAGGCAGCAGUAGGGAAUCUUCCGCAAUGGGCGAAAGCCUGACGGAGCAACGCCGCGUGAGUGAAGAAGGUCUUCGGAUCGUAAAACUCUGUUAUUAGGGAAGAACAAAUGUGUAAGUAACUAUGCACGUCUUGACGGUACCUAAUCAGAAAGCCACGGCUAACUACGUG